GGAACAUCCCUUUCUCGCAAGAGACUGCUGCGGAGGUGCUGCAUGGCUGUCGUCAGCUCGUGUCGUGAGAUGUUGGGUUAAGUCCCGCAACGAGCGCAACCCUUGUCCCUAGUUGCUACGCAAGGGCACUCUAGGGAGACUGCCGGUGACAAACCGGAGGAAGGUGGGGAUGACGUCAAGUCCUCAUGGCCCUUAUGGGUAGGGCCUCACACGUCAUACAAUGGCCGGUACAGAGGGUUGCCAAACCGCGAGGUGGAGCCAAUCCCAGAAAGCCGGUCGUAGUCCGGAUUGCAGUCUGCAACUCGACUGCAUGAAGUCGGAAUCGCUAGUAAUCGCGGAUCAGCAUGUCGCGGUGAAUACGUUCCCGGGUCUUGUACACACCGCCCGUCACACCAUGGGAGUGGGGUGCACCAGAAGUAGGUAGGCUAACCGCAAGGAGGCCGCUUACCACGGUGCGUUUCGUGACUGGGGUGAAGUCGUAACAAGGUAGCCGUAA
Molecule: ribosomal RNA, 496 nt
Filed under: uncultured beta proteobacterium
Lineage: Bacteria; Pseudomonadati; Pseudomonadota; Betaproteobacteria
Description: bacterial SSU rRNA
Rfam family: Bacterial small subunit ribosomal RNA
Source: RNAcentral